RNAcentral lists this ribosomal RNA (25 nucleotides) under Mycothermus thermophilus. Its description in RNAcentral is "partial 18S ribosomal RNA". The record is from RNAcentral. Lineage: Eukaryota; Fungi; Ascomycota; Sordariomycetes; Sordariales; Chaetomiaceae.
UCCGUAGGGGUAACCUGCGGAAGGA